Molecule: transfer RNA, 93 nt
Rfam family: tRNA
About the family: Transfer RNA (tRNA) molecules are approximately 80 nucleotides in length. Their secondary structure includes four short double-helical elements and three loops (D, anti-codon, and T loops). Further hydrogen bonds mediate the characteristic L-shaped molecular structure. tRNAs have two regions of fundamental functional importance: the anti-codon, which is responsible for specific mRNA codon recognition, and the 3' end, to which the tRNAs corresponding amino acid is attached (by aminoacyl-tRNA synthetases). tRNAs cope with the degeneracy of the genetic code in two manners: having more than one tRNA (with a specific anti-codon) for a particular amino acid; and 'wobble' base-pairing, i.e. permitting non-standard base-pairing at the 3rd anti-codon position.
Source: Rfam
UCCUCCGUGGCGCAAUUGGCUAGCGCGUCUGACUGUUACAGAUUUAUCUUGUAGCGUAUCAGGAGGUUGAAAGUUCGAGCCUUUCCGGGGGAG